This 485-nucleotide ribosomal RNA is filed under the name uncultured bacterium. RNAcentral's name for it is "partial 16S ribosomal RNA". It matches the Rfam family "Bacterial small subunit ribosomal RNA", at positions 29 to 523 of the family's 1533-position model. The record is from RNAcentral.
AGUGAACGCUGGCGGCGUGCUUAACACAUGCAAGUCGAACGAGAACGGAAUAUAGCUUGCUAUAUUUGUCAGCUAAGUGGCGCACGGGUGAGUAAUGUAUAGAUAACCUGCCCUUAAGAAAGGAAUAACAGUUGGAAACGACUGCUAAUGCCCUAUAUGCCUUUAAUACAUAAGUAUGCAAGGGAAACGCUUUAGUGCUUAAGGAUGGGUCUGUAUGGUAUCAGCUUGUUGGUGAGGUAAUGGCUCACCAAGGCUAUGACGCCUAACUGGUUUGAGAGGGUGAUCAGUCACAAUGGAACUGAGACACGGUCCAGACUCCUACGGGAGGCAGCAGUGGGGGAUAUUGCACAAUGGACGAAAGUCUGAUGCAGCAACGCCGCGUGGAGGAUGACACAUUUCGGUGCGUAAACUCCUUUUAUAUAGGAAGAUAAUGACGGUACUAUAUGAAUAAGCACCGGCUAACUCCGUGCCAGCCGCCGCCGUAA